AACGAACGCUGGCGGCGCGCCUAAUACAUGCAAGUCGAACGAGAAGCUGUAGCAAUACAGUUGUACAGUGGCGAACGGGUGAGGAAUACAUGGGUGACCUACCCUCGAGUGGGGAAUAACCAGCCGAAAGGUUGGCUAAUACCGCGUACGCUUCCCAGUCUACGGGUUGGGAAGGAAAGCGAUGCCGUAGGUAUCGCGCUCAAGGUUGGGCUCAUGUCCUAUCAGCNGUUGGUGGGGUAACGGCUCACCAAGGCAACGACGGGUAGCUGGUCUGAGAGGACGAUCAGCCACACUGGCACUGCGACACGGGCCAGACUCCUACGGAGGCAGCAGUAAGAAUAUUGCGCAAUGGGCGAAAGCCUGACGCAGCGACGCCGCGUGGGGGAU
RNAcentral lists this ribosomal RNA (387 nucleotides) under uncultured bacterium. Its description in RNAcentral is "bacterial SSU rRNA". It matches the Rfam family "Bacterial small subunit ribosomal RNA", at positions 29 to 409 of the family's 1533-position model. The record is from RNAcentral.